UACGUCCUGCUUAGUUCGUGAUAGGGUUAGUUUUGGACCUACAAGAUAUUUAUGGAGUCCGUUACUUCGUGAAAUGGGAUUGCAGACCUCCCGCCCGCGCCGCCUUCGUGCCGCGCGAAGCGGAUGCUGGGAGCACAAAAUGACCGAGAGGACACCAACCUGCACAAGCAGGGUUAAAUACUUGCUCUACACGGCUCGGCGGGAUUUUU
This 209-nucleotide non-coding RNA is filed under the name Clostridia bacterium. RNAcentral describes it as "6S RNA". It matches the Rfam family "6S / SsrS RNA". From Rfam's summary of the family: E. coli 6S RNA was the first non coding RNA to be sequenced, but its function was unknown until recently. Lineage: Bacteria; Bacillati; Bacillota; Clostridia. The record is from RNAcentral.